UUCUAGCCCUGGAACUGAAUUCCAAAAUGCUGUGUAUCAACCUGCUGAAGUAGCAACUGAAAGAGGUAAGAAGAGAAGGGAGGAUACCAUCCAAGUAAAAUCAUCUCGCCAUACGUAUAAAAGAGAGAAUAGGGGAUUUUUAUAGUUUCUUAUUUUAAAGCAGUAUUACAGAAUGGACUACCAGGUCUCUUGUACUGACUGGGGUAAGUCUUUGGAAGCUGGACAGAAGGUCUGUGGACUGGAGGAGCUUUGCCAUGGAGACAGCAGCUUUCCCUGCUCUGUAGGACACUGUGAUGAGUUGAUGGGUGGCAGUCUUCUGACUGACCACGAAGGCACUACUAACUGCAGUCCUGCUGUGACAGACCAGAGGCACUGUGCAUUUGAAGGAAGGACAAGCACCCGUUAUCUGUGUGGUGAGACUGAACACUGCUUGCAACAACAGUACCUGAUCUUCAAGAUCUCAGCCACAGGUCAGUGUUUUGUGGACCCACUGAAGAAUCUGUGCCUUUCAAGAAACUCCAGAAAAUUAAUUCUGACCCCCAUCCUGCUAAGCUGGGCUGAGUGUCUUCAGUCAACCAGCUUGGAUUAUAAAUGACCAGUGGAAACGAUGAAGCUCCAUUCUUGCAAGUUAUUCUCAAACUUGUUUUUGAAGGAAGAAUGGAAAUCUGCUUUUUAUUUAAAAGCCCUUCUCGACAAGGCUGCCUGUCCAGCAGGUGGGGGAAUUACAUCCUAAACCUGAAGAGAGACUGAACCAGAAAGAUGUGGGCUGUCUUGGAGAGUGGGCACUCUGCCUCUUUUGUUUGGAAGCUGCGCCAGCCUGCAGGGUGGAAAAAAAUGCAUUGUUCAGUAAACCCAAGUGUGAUCGUCAGAAGGUAUGUACCAAUUUACUAGCUUAUUGGUUGUCAUCUGCCUGAAAUGGAGAAUAUCCCAAACUAUGCCAGCGUUUUA
Molecule: long non-coding RNA, 948 nt
Filed under: Calidris pugnax (ruff)
Lineage: Eukaryota; Metazoa; Chordata; Aves; Charadriiformes; Scolopacidae
Description: lncRNA (ENSCPUG00000009092.1)
Source: RNAcentral